GACGAACGCUGGCGGCGUGCUUAACACAUGCAAGUCGAACGGUGAAGCGCCUUCCUUUUUGGUGGGUGUGGAUGAGUGGCGAACGGGUGAGUAACACGUGAGUAACCUGCCCCCUUCUUCUGGAUAACCGCAUGAAAGUGUGGCUAAUACGGGAUAUUCUGGGUCUGUCGCAUGAUGGGUCUGGGAAAGAUAUUGUUUCGGUGGGGGAUGGGCUCGCGGCCUAUCAGCUUGUUGGUGGGGUGAGGGCCUACCAAGGCGGUGACGGGUGGCCGGCCUGAGAGGGUGGCCGGUCACACUGGGACUGAGACACGGCCCAGACUCCUACGGGAGGCAGCAGUGGGGAAUAUUGCACAAUGGGCGCAAGCCUGAUGCAGCGACGCCGCGUGAGGGAUGGAGGCCUUCGGGUUGUGAACCUCUUUCGCCAGUGAAGCAGGCCUGCCUCGUUUGUGGGUGGGUUGACGGUAGCUGGAUAAGAAGCGCCGGCUAACUACGUG
This 494-nucleotide ribosomal RNA is filed under the name uncultured bacterium. Its description in RNAcentral is "partial 16S ribosomal RNA". It matches the Rfam family "Bacterial small subunit ribosomal RNA", at positions 28 to 507 of the family's 1533-position model. The record is from RNAcentral.